GAGACAGCAGCCGCCGCGGUAAUACGGAGGGUGCAAGCGUUAAUCGGAAUUACUGGGCGUAAAGCGCACGCAGGCGGUCUGUCAAGUCAGAUGUGAAAUCCCCGGGCUUAACCUGGGAACUGCAUUUGAAACUGGCAGGCUAGAGUCUUGUAGAGGGGGGUAGAAUUCCAGGUGUAGCGGUGAAAUGCGUAGAGAUCUGGAGGAAUACCGAUGGCGAAGGCAGCCAUCUGGCCUAACACUGACGCUGAGGUACGAAAGCAUGGGGAGCAAACAGGAUUAGAUACCCGCGUAGUCCCUGUCUCUUAUAC
RNAcentral lists this ribosomal RNA (308 nucleotides) under uncultured bacterium. Its description in RNAcentral is "partial 16S ribosomal RNA". It matches the Rfam family "Bacterial small subunit ribosomal RNA", at positions 505 to 807 of the family's 1533-position model. The record is from RNAcentral.